CCUACGGGAGGCAGCAGUGGGGAAUAUUGCGCAAUGGGCGAAAGCCUGACGCAGCGACGCCGCGUGAGGGACGACGGCCCUUGGGUUGUAAACCUCUUUCAGCAGGGAAGAAGGGAAACUGACGGUACCUGCAGAAGAAGCACCGGCUAACUACGUGCCAGCAGCCGCGGUAAUACGUAGGGUGCAAGCGUUGUCCGGAUUUAUUGGGCGUAAAGAGCUCGUAGGCGGUUUGCUACGUCGGAUGUGAAAACCCGGGGCUCAACCCCGGGCCUGCAUUCGAUACGGGCAGACUCGAGUGUGGUAGGGGAGACUGGAACUCCUGGUGUAGCGGUGAAAUGCGCAGAUAUCAGGAAGAACACCGGUGGCGAAGGCGGGUCUCUGGGCCAUUACUGACGCUGAGGAGCGAAAGCGUGGGGAGCAAACAGGAUUAGAUACCCCAGUAGUC
This 445-nucleotide ribosomal RNA is filed under the name uncultured Actinomycetales bacterium. RNAcentral describes it as "bacterial SSU rRNA". It matches the Rfam family "Bacterial small subunit ribosomal RNA", at positions 338 to 795 of the family's 1533-position model. Lineage: Bacteria; Bacillati; Actinomycetota; Actinomycetes; Actinomycetales. The record is from RNAcentral.